Molecule: ribosomal RNA, 440 nt
Filed under: uncultured bacterium
Lineage: Bacteria
Description: bacterial SSU rRNA
Rfam family: Bacterial small subunit ribosomal RNA
Source: RNAcentral
GAUGAACGCUGGCGGCGUGCCUAAUACAUGCAAGUCGAGCGGUAAGGCCCUUCGGGGUACACGAGCGGCGGACGGCUGAGUAACAUGUAGGAACGUACCCCAAACUGAGGGAUAAGCACCAGAAAUGGUGUCUAAUACCGCAUGUGCUCUAAGGAGUAAAGCUUCGGCGGUUUGGGAACGGCCUGCGCACGAUUAGAUUGUUGGUGAGGUAAUGGCUCACCAAGUCGACGAUCGUUAGUUGGUCUGAGAGGAUGAUCAACCAGACUGGGACUGAGAACGGCCCAGACUCCUACGGGAGGCAGCAGUAGGGAAUUUUCCACAAUGGGCGAAAGCCUGAUGGAGCGACGCCGCGUGCAGGAUGAAGGCCCUCGGGUUGUAAACUGCUUUUAUAAGUGAAGAAUAUGACGGUAACUUAUGAAUAAGCACCGGCUAACUACGUG